CCUAGUUUCCCAGUGCUGGAAUAUAGAAAAUGGAUGGACAAGUAAAUCCCACUCAGCACCCAUAGUCCAGGCAUGGGGACCUCAACACACCUGAGCCCCAGACAUCACCUUUCAUUCUGGACCUACCAUGAAAGACUUCUGAAUCCAGGAAGAGAAACUGACUGGGCAACAUGUUAUUCAGAAACAGGACCUUGCCUGUCACUCAGGAUGGAGUUCAGUGGUCCUAUCAUGGCUCAUUAUAGCCUCAAACUCCCAGGCUCAAGCAAUCCUACCAUGUCAGCCUUCCCAGUAGCUGGGACUACAGGCUGGAGUACAGUGGCACAACCUCUGCUCACUGCAGCCUCCACCUGCCAGGCUCAAGCAAUUCUCCUGCCUCAGCCUCCCGAGUAGCUGGGAUUACAG
RNAcentral lists this long non-coding RNA (402 nucleotides) under Pan troglodytes (chimpanzee). RNAcentral describes it as "lincRNA". Lineage: Eukaryota; Metazoa; Chordata; Mammalia; Primates; Hominidae. The record is from RNAcentral.